Molecule: non-coding RNA, 788 nt
Filed under: Amara communis
Lineage: Eukaryota; Metazoa; Arthropoda; Insecta; Coleoptera; Carabidae
Source: RNAcentral
AUAAAGUUUAAUUCUAGUUUAAAAAUUUAUUUAAUUUUUUUUUUACAUGUAAAUUUUUGUAUGAAUAUUAAUUAAAUUUUAAUAAUUUAUUUAAAAUGGAUUUAUUCGCAGUAUUUAAUUUUAAUAAUUUAAGAAAUUGAGAAUUAGAAAUAAAUUUUAGUAUUAACAAAUUUUGUGCCAGCAGUUGCGGUUAUACAAAAAAUAUAAAUAAAUUUUAUUAGUAAAUAAUUUUAUUAAAUUAUUAAAUAAAUUAAUAUUAUAUUUAUUAGGUGAAAUUUUAAAUAUUAAAUUAAUUUAUAUAAAAGUUUUAAUUAUUAUGAAAUUUAUAUUUAAACUAGGAUUAGAUACCCUAUUAUUUUAAAUGUAAAAUGUAUUACUAAAGUAGUAUUAGUUAUGAUCUUGAAAUUUAAAGAUUUUGGCGGUAUUUUAGUCUAUUUAGAGGAACCUGUUCUAUAAUUGAUAAUCCACGAUUAAUUUUACUUAUUUUAUAAAUUUGUAUACCGUCGUUAUUAGAAAAUUUUAAUAGAAAAUAAAUUUUUAAUAUUUUAUAUUAAAAAAUAUAUCAGAUCAAGGUGCAGUAUAUAUUUAAGAAGAAAUGGGUUACAAUAAAUUUAUUUAUAUGGAUUAAGAUAAGAAUAAAUCUUAUGAAGGUGGAUUUAAUAGUAAUUAAAUAAAAUUAUAUUUUAUGAUUUUAGCUCUAAAAUAUGUACAUAUCGCCCGUCGCUCUUAUUAUAAGAUAAGAUAAGUCGUAACAUAGUAGAUGUACUGGAAAGUGUAUCUAGAAUGAC